Mycena olivaceomarginata is the source of this 79-nucleotide non-coding RNA. The record is from the annotation of a GenBank genome assembly. NCBI's taxonomy places the organism in Eukaryota, Fungi, Basidiomycota, Agaricomycetes, Agaricales, Mycenaceae.
GCUCCAAAGGUCAGCGGUAGACCAGCCUCUCUUGAUACUGAUCCUGAAAGUGACGCAGGUUCAACUCCUGCUUGGGGCA